This 303-nucleotide ribosomal RNA is filed under the name uncultured bacterium. RNAcentral describes it as "partial 16S ribosomal RNA". It matches the Rfam family "Bacterial small subunit ribosomal RNA", at positions 507 to 808 of the family's 1533-position model. The record is from RNAcentral.
AGCAGUAGCCGCGGUAAUACGUAGGUGGCAAGCGUUGUCCGGAAUUAUUGGGCGUAAAGCGCGCGCAGACGGUUUCUUAAGUCUGAUGUGAAAGCCCCCGGCUUAACCGGGGAGGGUCAUUGGAAACUGGGAGACUUAGAGUGCAGAAGAGGAGAGUGGAAUUCCAUGCGUAGCGAUGAAAUGCGUAGAUAUAUGGAGGAACACCAGUAGCGAAGGCGACUCUCUGAUCUGUAACUGACGCUGAGGCGCGAAAGCGUGGGGAGCAAACAGGAUUAGAUACCCCCGUAGUCCCUGUCUCUUAUA